UACAGAGGUCCCAAGCGUUGUUCGGAUUUACUGGGCGUAAAGGGUGCGUAGGCGGUGCGGAAAGUUCGGGGUGAAAUCUCCAGGCUCAACUUGGAAACUGCCCUGAAUACUUCCGUGCUCGAGGGCCGCAGAGGAGAUUGGAAUUCUCGGUGUAGCAGUGAAAUGCGUAGAUAUCGAGAGGAACAUCAGUGGCGAAAGCGAAUCUUUGGGCGGUUUCUGACGCUGAGGCACGAAAGCCAGGGGAGCAAACGGG
RNAcentral lists this ribosomal RNA (253 nucleotides) under uncultured bacterium. RNAcentral describes it as "partial 16S ribosomal RNA". It matches the Rfam family "Bacterial small subunit ribosomal RNA", at positions 524 to 776 of the family's 1533-position model. The record is from RNAcentral.